CUCUCUUUCUCUCUCUCCCUCCCAUGGGUAUCACCACAUUCGCCAAUUUUGAAUACAGAUGUGACUUCCAUCUGUGUGAUCUAUUCUUUAUCUUUUCUUUGUAUUUCUUUUUCUUUCUUUCUUACAUGGAAAUAACAACAAUAAUAUUGAUAUUACUUACUUGGUGGCAGCAAUGCAUCUGAUAAAAGUUGGGACGUAACAACAAAAGACUAGAAAAGUAAAUGGCACUAAUAAAAACAGCAGUAGAAGCAACUUUCAACUCAACUUGCAUGAGUGGUUCUAAAAAGACCAUUAUAGAGAAAUGUAAACAGAAACACACUGACCUGCAGGCUGCCACAGACAUCUACAACACCCACUCUUCCCACAGCACUUCGCCUGUUCUCUUCUUGUUGCUUGGCAACCCCUUUUUUUCUGUAAAACGCGAGGCAGUGUGUUAGAGGAAUCCUCCAUGUGGGUUUGGCUGUGCUCACUGAAUCAGGUCAGUGGCUGUGGAGCCUGGAGGGUGUUUGACACUUCUGCUCCAGAGGGAGACAGAGACGACCUGGUGGGAGCUGGAUGAUCUUCAGCAGCCUGAACGGUCCUCAGGAACAUCUCUGAACUGGACAAACAAAGAGAUAAUUACUACAGGUGCUCCUGCUGGACCCUCGGAUAAAAAAGCCCCACACAGAUGUCCUUCCCCUGGAGCCAACAUGAUCUUUAGGAGAUGUAAGAAUGCAGCAGUGAUCAGGAUUCCCAGACUCUGGACGUGUAUCUGACUGGACGUGUGUGAAGACCCUCACACACAGCUCCUCCCUGCAGCAGGUGUGAGGAGAGACCUGGUGAAGUGGAACAGAGAGACUGACCUUCUGCACAAUUCUGAUACUCAGGCUGAGCUCACGUUCUCCUGAUGCUGUAUCAGGUUUUUACAGAAAGAGAAGAAACAAUCCACCAAAAUGAAGCAUAAUAAAGGAGACUUCUCUGCACAGAUAAGAUGAACACAUAUACAUGGCUUACUGUAGAGAAACGUAUCAACGUUACUUGAGGUUAACAUAACUACAGCCUAAAUAAGGCAUUUUUAUUGUAAUUAUACAGCACCAGCAUGGACCAUAUGUAAUGUAGAGGAUGUUAAAAUAUUGAUUAAUCUGAUAAAAUGUUUCGUUUUUUUUUUCGCACCCCUUUCACAAUAUCAAAGAUACAUGAUUUAAAAAAUGUAGUGAAUCACAAAAUAGAGUACACUCCUCACAUUUCUGCAGAUAUUUAAGUAGAUCUUUUCAUGGGACAACACUGACAAAAUGACACCUUGACACAAUGAAAAGUAGUCUUUGUGCAGCUUAUAUAACAGUGUAAAUGUAUUCUUUCCUCAAGAUCAAGUUCCAAAAAUAUGUUUUUAUUAGAAUAACUUAUAGUAAAAUAGUAAAAAAAAAUUGUCUUAUGUCUUAUAAACAUUUGUCUUAUAAAUAUUUGUUUUAUUUAUCUCAACAUGAAUAUGAUAUAUAUUAAAGUAUUCAGCAUAGCUGGUUAUACAGUACCAGUCAAAGGUUUGGACACCCCUUUUUUUUCUUUUUGUGUUUUCGUUCUUUUUGUGAAUUUCUUUGUUGUAAAUUUAAUAUUGAAGAUAUUGAAGAUAUUAAAGCUAAACAAAUUCAGAAUAGUUUUUAUACAUUCUUCUACAUUUAUCCUUGAGGACAGAUCUGCACACUCUUGGUAUUUUAAUCUCAGUGUCUCUAUAAGGGAGAGUCACCUGGUAUAGUUUUCUCAGCCUCUUGAAAGAGUUCCUGGAGGUGCUGAACAAUAGUUGAUGCUUUUCCUUCAUGCUGUGAAGCUCCAGCUCAUCCCGAAUCACCAUCUCAAUUGGGUUUAGGUUGAAGGAUUGUGGAGGACAAAUUUUUUUUUUGUUCAAUAUGUAAUUCCCUAUAUGUCCUUUAACUGUUUUCAUGUCUUUAACAUUAAUCUACAACUUAGAAAAUAAAUUUAAUAGAAAUACAAAAGAAAAACACUGAAUGAGAUGACGUGUCCCAACUUCUGUCUGGUACUAAGACGUACUAAGAUAAGCUCAGCUUCAUGAUAACAUCAAUCACUAGGAGACAUACACAUGGGAGAAAUUCAAGAAAAUCAGGGAACAAAAAAGGAUCAUAUUAAGGAUAUCAGCUGCGCAUAAGUGCCAUUUUUCAACAUCUACUUAGUAAUAAUUAAAACAAUUAUGCUAUACUUAUAACAGUCAUACAGCCACUCCACUCACUCACUUCUAAACAGUAAAUUCACCAGUGGUAAAUCAACACUGUUAGUGUUAAAUUUUACAUUCUUAGUGUUAAUUUAACACUAAUAGUAUUGAUAUAACACUGGUGAAUUUAUUGUGUACUCAUGCGUGAGCCUCCUACCUGCGCAUCACUGCUCAUUCAUUUUCACUAGGUCACAUUACCUUUCAAAAUUCCAUCAAAAUCAAACCACAUAUAUGGAGUGAGAUACAGACUAGAACUUAAAAGGCACAUGACUGUAAAGCACAGUGAUUUCUGGUGGAAUUAUUAAACCUAGCUUUUCCCCGCUUAUCAGUUAUAGUAAGUUUAUUUGGAUAUAUUAUAAUUCUUUUCUUAUGAUUUUGUUUGUUAUUUAGAGGGAAAGUACUGUAUGUAAGCCCCUAUGGGCUUUCCCUGCACGUUUUAUUUUAUUUUUUUCUCAUUUCUCUAAUACGCAUCCCUGUUUGCUUCCUUCUUUCACAUAUGUGUGCAAAUUAAAAAAUUAAAAAAUAAAUACAGAAAUAGUGAGUCAAAUGUGCUCUGCCAGAUGAUUGAGCAGGAGUUAAAGGGUUAACACAAUGUUUAAAAGCUACCAGUAGUCAGCAUGGAGAGUACAUUGACUCACAUGGAGCUGCUCGGUAUGUUUGUUAUUAAACUCCUGCCAAAGCAGUAAAGUGGGACAAAGGACAGAACAGCAGAAGAAGCUUCACCACCAGCAAGUUUUACUUAAACCAGAGAAAUAUGACAGUCAGGCAGUUUCUCCCACGGCAAAAACACACUGGCUUCAGGAGGAGGCUCUUCACCCACCACAGGAAAAUGCUAAACUAUUCCAUGGACAAUGAAGAGCCCCGAGAGCAGAAGAGCGAGAGCAGGGAGGAGUCCAUUCUGGCCUGUCUGGGGAUCGCAGGAACCAUCCUCAACCUGCUGGUCAUCAUCUUUGUCUACAUCUACACUUCCCUUUGAAAUAAAAGGAAAUGCGGACUAAAAAAAACUAAACCUGGACUAUGGAAUCUACAGUAGCUCUUUCAGGGGGCAAUGGGCAUUCGCUGAACAUCAGAACAGCUAAACCUUAUUUCUCUGUCAUUGUUAGUUCAUAGCAGCCUUACAUGGUUAAACAAUUAACCAUAAAUAAUGUCAUGGUUUUUGUAUAUUUAUCUUUCCAAGCACAAUAAGUCUGUACACAUUUUGAAACUACUGCCUUGAUGAUUUUCUACAUGACCCUGUUUCUUAGCUUUUAGAGGUCAAAUUAAAUCUUAUAAUCUGAGAA
This is a long non-coding RNA of Astyanax mexicanus (Mexican tetra), 3480 nucleotides long. RefSeq lists it as uncharacterized. The transcript has 4 exons. The record is from RefSeq and is a predicted model, not a curated record. Lineage: Eukaryota; Metazoa; Chordata; Actinopteri; Characiformes; Acestrorhamphidae.